UGCGCAGGCGGGCUAUUAAGUCAGUGGUGAAAUCUCUCGGCUCAACCGAGAAACUGCCAUUGAAACUGAUAGUCUUGAGUAUGGUUGUGGUAGGCGGAAUAUAGCAUGUAGCGGUGAAAUGCUUAGAUAUGCUAUAGAACACCGAUCGCGAAGGCAGCUUACCAAGCCAGUACUGACGCUCAUGCACGAAAGCGUGGGUAGCAAACAGGAUUAGAUACCCUGGUAGUCC
RNAcentral lists this ribosomal RNA (229 nucleotides) under uncultured bacterium. RNAcentral's name for it is "partial 16S ribosomal RNA". It matches the Rfam family "Bacterial small subunit ribosomal RNA", at positions 568 to 796 of the family's 1533-position model. The record is from RNAcentral.